GCUUAAUAAGAGAGGAGGCGCGGUGAGGGGAGGAAGGGAUCAGGUCUGCGACGAACGCAGCGAAGCUCCGUCCCCGCAGCUGUUCUUUGUUCUUCCG
This 97-nucleotide microRNA precursor is filed under the name Ixodes scapularis (black-legged tick). RNAcentral describes it as "miRNA". Lineage: Eukaryota; Metazoa; Arthropoda; Arachnida; Ixodida; Ixodidae. The record is from RNAcentral.